AUGAUGAAUUCAAAGAAAUGUCUUUACGUCAUUUUUGGCGCAGUAUGUAGGAUACCUUAUGAGGGAGAAUUAGAGGAACCCCAUCGUGAAGAUGUGGAUGGAUUUGUUAAAACUAUUGCUGUAGAAGAGCCAAAGAAGGGCUCUGAGGCAAAAGUCUCUAGCAUACACUUUCCUGUUUUACGCUAUUUUGCCACAUUUGCUAGUAGAUACUUGAUUGGUCGUGGGAAUAGUGGAAAUUUGAGCAUUCCCGAUAUUCUUAUUCUUCAACAUGCUUUGCUGGGAGACAAUACUUUUAGUAUGGGUGCCGUCGUUGCUAAACGGCAAGCACUGAAUCGUAGAAAUGGCCCCAUAUUUGGAGGUAUCUAUGCUGCACGUCUUGCUAAACAUUUUUAG
RNAcentral lists this ribosomal RNA (393 nucleotides) under Triticum aestivum (bread wheat). Its description in RNAcentral is "partial small subunit ribosomal RNA". The record is from RNAcentral. Lineage: Eukaryota; Viridiplantae; Streptophyta; Magnoliopsida; Poales; Poaceae.